UACGUAGGGUGCAAGCGUUACUCGGAAUUACUGGGCGUAAAGCGUGCGCAGGCGGUUUGCUAAGACCGAUGUGAAAUCCCCGGGCUUAACCUGGGAACUGCAUUGGUGACUGGCAGGCUAGAGUAUGGCAGAGGGGGGUAGAAUUCCACGUGUAGCAGUGAAAUGCGUAGAGAUGUGGAGGAAUACCGAUGGCGAAGGCAGCCCCCUGGGCCAAUACUGACGCUCAUGCACGAAAGCGUGGGGAGCAAACAGG
Molecule: ribosomal RNA, 253 nt
Filed under: uncultured bacterium
Lineage: Bacteria
Description: partial 16S ribosomal RNA
Rfam family: Bacterial small subunit ribosomal RNA
Source: RNAcentral